AAAAUUCCCAAAAUCUUCUCGACGUGCUCUAUGCUCAUCAGUCCAUAGUCGUCACCACUUGCCUCAGUGUCGUCUUCCUCAAGUCAGUGGCCACUCGCCUCCGGCCUUCUGUGCCUGUAACAGCCUAUUCCUCGCCAGUCACCUGACUCGCCUCCUCUGACCACCGGUUCCCAAAAUCUUUGAGAAGUCGUUCGAAUAGCUCUUCUUCAACUCUUCUGCUCUGGACUUUUGACUUGGCUUCUUAGGGUCAUUUCUAAUCUAAACUUCCUUUUGCAUUUGGAUGGGUUACAUGG
This 293-nucleotide long non-coding RNA is filed under the name Olea europaea (common olive). RNAcentral describes it as "long non-coding RNA (OEUR_LNC008885)". The record is from RNAcentral. Lineage: Eukaryota; Viridiplantae; Streptophyta; Magnoliopsida; Lamiales; Oleaceae.